GGCGUUGGCUCGGGAGGUAGAGGGCGCGGGUUCCUACCUCUGCUGCCAUCAGCUCACAACCCCUCUUACUUAGGAGCUUUGGAGGCAUUAGGGAACUUUUAAGUCCCGAAAAAAGAAGAUACCAAAGGAAAUGCCAAAGUCAAAGUUAUUAUGUUUAAUUAGAACGUCUUCAUAUGUUACCUUCAGUAACUAUAGACUUUAGCAUUUAGAAUUUUCCUAGGAAAGCAACUUUUAGUUGAGGUUUUCACAUUUCGCAGGAAUCCCAAGGAACACAAUUAUUCAAAUACUCAGGAAUCAUAAGCAACCAUAAAUUUUAUGUUACUAACAGUCCAACCACUUCAAAAGCAAAAUUAGAAUUAUGCUUUAGCAAUUAUAGGAACAAAAUUUAUUCAAUGUGAGUGCAUUUGGACAUGCUUGACAGGAGAUAGAGCCUCCAGAAGAACAUGGGCCCAGGGCUUAGGGAGGUCUUAGUUCUGCCGUCCUGCAGACGAGCCUUGACAAGCCUCAAGCCCUCCUUCGUUCCCCAGGACUUUCUUUUUGUUUGGUGAGGGCACUGAAUUAGAAGCCCUCUCCGUUUCUUCUCCAUCUAAAACUCUGUGAAUUGUCUUGCUGCUUAGUUUUCUUCUCUCGCCACUUUGUUUUUCACUCCAUAAGACUUAAAGGGUGAUCAACAAUCAAUCAGUCAAAUACUAGGAAACAGAACAAGGUGCCACUAGCAGGCAGUUGGCAGAGCGCGGCUUCCCGGGUGCCGCUAGUGGUAAAGAGCCCACCCACCAAUGUAGGAGAAGAGACUAAGGUUCGAUCCCUGGGUCAGGAAGAUCUCUUGGAGGAAGAAAUGGCAACCCACUCUAAAGUUUAUGCCUGGAGAAUCCCAUGGACAGAGGAGCCUGGCGGGCUAUGCUCCGUCGGGUUGCAGAGUCGGCCACGACUGAAGUGACUUAGAACACAUGCAUGUGCGACAUAGGACAGCAGACCUCUGUGCCCAUCAUUUGCACAGCACCUUCAUGACUGCUGCUAUAUCCACGUAUCACCUCGUUCUGAUACUGGCCGUCGGAUUGAGCCCUGUGGUUCAGGGCCAUAGCUGAAGGAUGAACUUUGGGCUGAAGCGCAGCACCUGUGAAGCAGGUACAGAGAGCAGUGAAGGUGGGUAGUAUUUUUGAGAUUAUUUGCUUCAGCUUCCCCACUGCAGUUUCACAGAAGGGGAGACUGAGCCCCAA
This 1217-nucleotide long non-coding RNA is filed under the name Cervus hanglu yarkandensis (Yarkand deer). RNAcentral's name for it is "lncRNA (ENSCHYG00000002907.1)". Lineage: Eukaryota; Metazoa; Chordata; Mammalia; Artiodactyla; Cervidae. The record is from RNAcentral.